AGAGUUUGAUCCUGGCUCAGAAUCAACGCUGGCGGCGCGCUUAACACAUGCAAGUCGCACGAGAAAGGGGAGCAAUCCCUGAGUAAAGUGGCGUACGGGUGAGUAACACGUGGAUCAUCUACCUUUUAGUGGGGAAUACCCCUGGGAAACUGGGGACAAUACCGCAUAAGCUCGUAAGAGGAAAGCCGAAAGGCGCUGAAAGAGGAGUCCGCGGCUGAUUAUGCUAGAUGGCGGGGUAACGGCCCACCAUGGCGAAGAUCGGUAGCCGGCCUGAGAGGGCACACGGCCACACUGGCACUGAAACACGGGCCAGACUCCUACGGGAGGCAGCAGUGGGGAAUCUUGCACAAUGGAGGAAACUCUGAUGCAGCGACGCCGCGUGAGCGAUGAAGCCCUUCGGGGUGUAAAGCUCUUUCGACGGGAACGAUAAUGACGGUACCCGAAGAAGAAGCUGCGGCUAACUACGUGCCAGCAGCCGCGGUAAUACGUAGGCAGCAAGCGUUGUUCGGAAUUACCGGGCGUAAAGAGUGUGUAGGCGGUGCUCUAAGUCUGUCGUGAAAUCUCCCGGCUUAACUGGGAGGGUGCGGCGGAAACUGGAGUGCUUGAGUAUGGGAGAGGAAAGCGGAAUUCCUGGUGUAGCGGUGAAAUGCGUAGAUAUCAGGAGGAACACCUGCGGUGUAGACAGCUUUCUGGACCAUCACUGACACUGAGACACGAAAGCGUGGGUAGCAAACAGGAUUAGAUACCCUAGUAGUCC
This 757-nucleotide ribosomal RNA is filed under the name uncultured bacterium. RNAcentral's name for it is "bacterial SSU rRNA". It matches the Rfam family "Bacterial small subunit ribosomal RNA", at positions 8 to 796 of the family's 1533-position model. The record is from RNAcentral.